Alexandromys fortis (reed vole) is the source of this 6639-nucleotide RNA transcript. RefSeq lists it as uncharacterized. The transcript has 3 exons. The record is from RefSeq and is a predicted model, not a curated record. Lineage: Eukaryota; Metazoa; Chordata; Mammalia; Rodentia; Cricetidae.
AGAGAAGGGGAGGGGUGCAGAAAGAAGGCCCGGCAUUUCAGAAGUGCGCGGAAUGGGAGGACUUGGGAUCACACCCCGGAACGGCCGGAAAAAUGAAUGUUUGUUUUCUCUUGCCGAUUAUUUGCUUAACAAUAACAUAGAGACAGGAGCCCUGGUUGUAGGUCUGCUGGCUUCUCUGCUCUCUUUAGCUUUCCAAAGAGGAGCAAUCAGAUGUGAAGAUUCUUCAUCUCUCACUGAUUCUUGUGGCGAGCUUACUCCUACCUCAGCGAGUAGAAGCGUUGAGAGGGAGCAAGCACCCCCCCUAACCCUCAGGAUCAUUCUCUCUGCCCACCCAGAGUUCAUCUCGUUGAAGCCCUGCUGGAGAUCAUAGAGCAUUGCCCACGAGAGGCUCUUGGGUGGCAUGAGCAUGUUAACGCCAACACACUCACAGUCCUGAAAGCAUGGCAGGGAGGUAGGUAAGCUGCAGCUCUUAGCUCAUCUUCAAGACAGCCCUAGUGCAUUCUUCCAAGAAUAUCCCAUUCUCUUUCUCGGUUCAGUUCUGGGCUUCUUUAGAUCAGAUGUAGCAGAUUUCCUGGAAAGGGUUACAGCAGACAUUCCAUGCUAUGGAAGAGAUGCUCGCCACAGCUAUGUGAACUGGGGCCUCCACAGAUCACAAGCAAAGAGGGACAGUGGCUUUGCCCCAACGCAACUACAUGUGUGGACAUUGCUUUCCUUGGCGCCAUAUGAUUCGUAUGAAAUAUUGUGAAAUAAAAUGCUUUAAAAUAUUCAUUUUCAUUCUUUCCCCUUUCUUAGUUUUGACAGUUUCAUACAAGAGUAAAACGUAUGGUGGUCAGAUUUACCUCCCCACUUCUUUCUUCCUUCUUAACAGUCUCCCUCUCUCCCCAUGUCCCUGUACGUGUGCAGGCCUUGGGUGUAUAUGUGGCUAUAUGUCUAUAGAUGUAAGUAUGUAGGAGACAGAGUGGCUAUAUGUCUAUAGAUGUAAGUAUGUAGGGGACAGAGUGGCUAUACAUCUAUAGGUGUAAGUAUGUAGGAGAUAGGGUGGCUAUAUGUCUAUAGGUGUAAGUACGUAGGGGACAGGGUGGCUAUACAUCUAUAGGUGUAAGUAUGUAGGAGAUAGGGUGGCUAUAUGUCUAUAGGUGUAAGUACAUAGGAGACAGGGAGGCUAUACGUCUGUAGGUGUAAAACAAAACACCUACAUGUUUCUACAUUUUCCCCUAAGGCCUUUGACUUGCCCAGUCAAAGGCUUGUGUUCAGCUUAUUGGUUUGUUUGUUUGAGACAGAGUUCUACUAUGUAUUGCAUGGGGGCCUUGACCUCUCUCUGGCCCAGAAUGACCUCAAAAUUCCUGCAAUCCUCCUGCCUCAGCUCCACAGAGUAUUGAUAUUGCAGGUGUGUACCAUGAUGGCUAGAGAUGAGCUGUUUGCAACUAUUUAAAAAUGUAAAGUUAUUCUUAGCUCAUGAACCAAACAAACAAGAAACAAACAAUACACAAAAAAAUAAGCAAACAAUAGAUUUUUAAAAAUCAGGGGGCAGGUCAGAUGGUGUGUGAGAAACAGCAGGCUGGCUCCUACCUCAGACUUCUUCAGUGUUACCAGUUAGUCUCAUGAAUGUGCCAAUUCCACUGUGGUGGCACACGCACGCAUGUGAGCGCACGAGCACACACGCACACACACACACACACACACACACACAGAGAUACUCGACUAAAUAAAUGUAAAUAUAACCCGGCUCCUGGGCAGUGUGCUGUUUGCCUAUCUCUAUGUAUACAGAUAAAUAUACAAAUAGAUACUUUUACAAGUGUAUGUAAACACAUACACAUCUAAACAUAGAAAGUCAAUGUCUGUUCCUUCAAACACUUUGUUCAGUAUUCUAAAUGUUUCCAAUUGCUGCUUUGGCCUCUUUAGAAGACUUGUUUCUCACCGUCCAUUCCUGCCGCCUUGUCUGGUGUUAUAACUGUAUUUUCAUGACUUGAUCUUAUCAAACCUCAGCUGAUCCAUCUCUGGUUGGUUACGAGCUCAAGCCCAGUUCCUUGAACACUAGUAGAUUUAUACCUGGAGUCAGAUGGCAUCGGGUGGGUUUGGCCAUAGGCACAUCAGCAGGAGCAAGGAAUACGAUACCGAUUAGAAAGAUUUGACUUUUCAUGGUCCGAGAGGUAGUUAAGCAAUUCUGUAUUCUGCUGUGCUUCCAACUGGUGUGAAGUCUGGAGUGAGCAGGAAAACCAAUCAAGGAAGAAGGACAAGACACAAAUGAGGAAGAGCUCCAGGAGUCUGGUUUGGAGGCCACAAGGACAAACUGGAACACACAUGAAUCUCUGCCUGAUGCUUCCUACUUCAAACAUACAACUGACUUGCAGGAAACGCUGGCUUACUCUAUUACUUUUCUAACUAGACACCUGGCCCAGUUGGGAGCUGGGGAACCUAAAGGAAGAGACCUGGCGAGGCGCCAAAGAACUGUAUGUCUGGCUUCUGCCCUUUGUCAGCAGGGAACCAGACAUCAGCAGGUACCGUGUGAUCUACAGUGGCAGAGUCAUGUGCCAUGUACUUCCCUGUCUCAGUAGAUACAGUGCUGGCCAGCCCCCGGGUUCCAUGCCCACAAGGCACAAGCUGGGUGAGAUGUCAUACACUGUUAAUCAGGGCCCUUGGGAGGUGGAGGUAGGAGGAGAAUCAGGAGUUCAAGGUUAUCUAUGUUCUGCUAUUUAGAGAGCUGACCCAUGUUAAACCCUACACAUAAACAACCAACCAAACACAUGGCCAAUAUUUAACGUGAACCUUUCCAAACCCCAACCCGUAGAUUCUUCCUGGCCUAUGCUCUCAUGAAAUUAUGCAGAGAGGGGAUCCGGGACAUCAGACUUCUUCCUUGGCUAGAGCAACAGUCCUAACAGACCGUGCAAGCUCCUUUCCCCCUAGAGACAGUCUAUGUAAUCAUUUGACAAUGUUUGCUAAGCCUGAUAAGGUCCUUUCCCCAUCUUCUAGCCCUGCCCUGGGGAGAGCAGGCACAGGGGCACCAGGACUUUAUCCCUGGCACUGCACACAGAUUUAGAAACUGAUCUUGCAUGGAGGAAUGGAGAAGCGUGAGAAGUCAUCUUUGACCUGCAUGGGGGGGUCAGGGGGUGCUUCUUUCCCCCUGCUGGCUCCACAGAAGGCUUCUCAUAGGCUCCCCAGGGCCAACAGGCCUGGCUUCCUGCUUUUCUCUUAGCAGGGUGGCAGGGGCUGUCUCCUCACAACAGCCUUCCUGUGUUGACAUCACCAUUUGUUCCUCGUUUCCCCCUAGGGAAGAUGCUGCCUUGUCUGUUCCGGGCAAUAGAUUUGGGAAAAAACACAUUUUUGUCUUUUAAAGGAAUUUAUUAUUAUCCAAGCCUCCUUAUGGCCCCAAACACUGAUUUUAAGAGCAACAACAACAAAAGAUAGCGAAUUCCCCUUCAAUAACAACAGAAAGGGCUACUUGGGGGUGAUUCAAAGGCCAUGCAUUUUUGAAUUACUAUCACCACAAAAAUGUGGUGUGUGCAUGUGUGCGUGUGUCAUACGAAUAAUGAACAGACAAAAAAAACUGCAAUAUUUCUCCACCUCUUCAUUUCCUGGCAUAAAGUGUCUAGUUCAGAUUAUUUUCCUUAAAAAGAAAAAAAAGACUUCUUUUUAACUAUGCGUAUGUGUAUGGCUUUUGCAUAUGCGUACAGGUGCCAGUGAUGCCAAAAGAAGCUAUCCCAUUUCCUGAAGCUAGAGUUACAGGCAACUGUGAGUCUCCUGGUAUUAGUGGUAGGAACUGAACUCUGGUCCCUAACAAGAACAAAAGAAAUGAUCCCUGAACCUAUCUUCAGCCCUAGAUUGCUUUCUUGGUCUUAUUACACCAGAAAUUUCAGAAAGCCUUGUCCUUUGUAUAUGCAUUGCUUAAAAAGCAGUCUGGAAUUUCAUAGGUUUGCAUGAUAAAUUUUACUAUGCACCCAAUACAGCAUAACUCAAAAUGCAUCGUGCACCAGGGAGUGUGUGUGUAAAGGGUCCUGCAGACAGCUUCCCGAAACAGAAGUUUUGAAAACACAUCCAUGCAAUUCCAAGGCUUCCUGUCACCAUGUGUCAGAGGGGCACCCACUUUCUUUUCACUGACGACAGAAAGGGAGCUCCCUCUCAGCAAUAUCUCCUAUGACUGGACCCACCGGCCUCUUUGUUCUUUUCUGGAGGCUAACAGAGGGAGUACGGCUGUUUGAGAUCCCAUACUGAUCAUAAUACCAUGUUGUUUCCCUCCAAAAUCUACACCAUAAAGUGAGAUUUUUAGUGUUAGUGUAAGGUUAUAUGUCUGUGAGGUUUCCAGUGUUGGUGUAAGGUUAUAUGUCUACACUUGAGGGUGUUUUGUGUCUAGUGUCUUACUACCCAUAAACACAUUUCAUUAGGACUAGAGAGAUGACUCAGAUCCGUUUGGUUUCUAGCACUCAUGUUUGGCAGUCACUCCUCCCUUGCAACUACAGCUCCAGGUACUCUGUGUCCUUUCCUAACUUCUGCAGGUGUGUAUGUGUGUGUGUGUGUGUGUGCAUGCAUGUAUAUGUUUAUAUAUAAAAAUAAAUAAAACAAAAUCAAUUUUGACCAAAAGUGGAGAUACUGCUUUAAAAUAUCUUCUGGUUUCAACAUAAAUAAGCAUUUCCAGAACUAUGUAUCAUGUCAAAAGCACUUGUGUCUGACUUGGAAUCAGAAAUGAAUCAUUAGACAUUUCCCUGAAUUAACUGGCAAGAAAGUCCCGGAAUGAAACUCCGCGAGAAGAAGAUGAAGACUUACGAGUAGGCAUAAGCGUGGUGUAGCCAAGCAACUCAGAGGGAAAGGGGACUAAUUCCUCCAUUUGUGUAAUUGGAGGAAACCAGCUCAAGUGGCCGGGAUCUGAAGGAUUAGGGAAAGGUGAUAAGGAGUGUAGAUGAAGGAACUCCAUUGGUGUCAGCCACACCAAGACCUUUUGCUUUCCUUUGUACAGUUUUAUGUCUUCACCAUCUUGUCCUUUUUUAGAGCAUGUUGGACUAGUAAAUAGCACUCUCUCUUCCACCAAGUUGUGGAGCAGAAUGGACAACAAUAGUGGUGGCCUCGAACCCCCACACAAAGAUAAUGGAGAGUGAGCACCGACUCUGUCAUGUGCUUGCUCCGAUUUUUCCCAUUUAACCUUCAUGAGCCAUCUGCAAGAAAAUAACACAAUUAAGUCCAGUUGAGACUUAAGGGACCAGUGACAUGGGGAAGUUGUAGUUAGUCAGUGAUGGGGAAAGGUUUUAUAUAUUUGAAUAUGGAGGCCGAACUCAGCAUAUGUGACGACAGAGAGUUUCUUCUCAAUCAUUUAAGCCUGUGAUUCUAUAUGAAUGACAAUUUCUUCUUUGUUCUUUUCUGAACGCUAGUGCAGACUGAUCAGAAGUGAGCUCUGGCUGCACUGAGUGCUCUCUUGUCACGUAGCACACUCCUGGGCUUCAUCAUGCCUAGAACUCUCUCGCUCAACUUGCUGUUGUGCCUAGAACAUAGAGUUCCUGCUCAGACUUUUUCUGUAAAGCCGACUGCUCUUUCCUCCCACUUCAUAGCAGCAGUCACUUGAGACGAAUAAGCUAGUUUCAUGUCAAGUUCCAGUCAUGGAGGAAGCGUAAGAAUGUGAGGAAAAUAAUUUUGUUCAGGGUGUUUCAUAGCAUGAAACAGAGGUCAGAGUAGGAAAAGAAUGCUCAAGAUGGCUCCAGUACUUUCCAUUUAGAAGCAUUUCUUUUUCAGUUAGAGGGACCCACAUGCAUAUAAUUUCCCAGCAUGCAAUUCCUAUGAUGCAAAUACAGUGUCCCUGAUUGGUCAGUGCUCAGUCCUAGGUAUUGUGCCUGUAGUUCUGUGGAAUCUAGACAAUGCUGGUUAGCCACAGCUCUCCCAUGGUGGCCCCAUUUGCAGUUCCUGCAUGAGGAAGUAGUGUCCUCUGUGAGGAAGUAGUUUCCUGUCUGAGGAAACUUGUCCGCACCAGGAUGAAGUUGGUGAAAGAUUCAUUCUCUUUCUUGUCUCUCAGCUAUGGCCUUCCCACGACAGCUUUAUUUUCCAAUAGAAUAAAAAGCAUACGGCCUCAGUCGGCCACAGCUGUAAUGAACACUUUUAUGUUGUGCAUGUCUGAGGCCUCAACCUAUAGAACAAUCUUAAGAUGUUCUUUUGAAAUAGUAUAACCAGCCUUUCUGGUUUCACUGCCCACAAGACUAAUCCUUUCAGACAGCAGGUCACCAACAUCUUAAAUAUUAAUUUCCUACGACACAACAUUCCAUUUGCUGCGGGUUCUAGACCCCAUGUGUGUUAUGAAAAAUUGCGAAAUGAGUAUUUGGUCAUUCACAUUCAAAGCCUGGCAGUGCUAUUUAGCAGUGGAUAAAAUCGCAAAGUGUGAUGCAAAUGUGGUUUGGUCUCAUUCCAAACACAUCAGUCUUCUACUGUGGAGGGCUAUAGAGACAUACUUUGGAAGAGCAGAGCACCACGCUUUACAAAACUUCUACAGAGGAAAUAGGUUCUCUCUCGGUUGACGAAAAUCUUUAUUAAUGAUCUUAAAAUGACCCAACUCCACCCGAACUUAAUGGAUCCAGGCCCCAGUCCCUAUCCUUACCAUAUAGCACAGGCCACUGUGUCAUAUGCAUCUGAUGACAUGUUUCACUUCCUCUGGCUUAACCUGCCUCU